RNAcentral lists this ribosomal RNA (473 nucleotides) under uncultured organism. RNAcentral describes it as "partial 16S ribosomal RNA". It matches the Rfam family "Bacterial small subunit ribosomal RNA", at positions 335 to 799 of the family's 1533-position model. The record is from RNAcentral.
ACUCCUGCGGGAGGCAGCAGUGGGGAAUUUUGGACAGUGGGCGAAAGCCUGAUCCAGCAAUGCCGCGUGAGUGAAGAAGGCCUUCGGGUUGUAAAGCUCUUUUGUCAGGGAAGAAACGGUGAAAGCUAAUAUCUUUUGCUAAUGACGGUACCUGAAGAAUAAGCACCGGCUAACUACGUGCCAGCAGCCGCGGUAAUACGUAGGGUGCAAGCGUUAAUCGGAAUUACUGGGCGUAAAGCGUGCGCAGGCGGUUUUGUAAGUCUGAUGUGAAAUCCCCGGGCUCAACCUGGGAAUUGCAUUGGAGACUGCAAGGCUAGAAUCUGGCAGAGGGGGGUAGAAUUCCACGUGUAGCAGUGAAAUGCGUAGAUAUGUGGAGGAACACCGAUGGCGAAGGCAGCCCCCUGGGUCAAGAUUGACGCUCAUGCACGAAAGCGUGGGGAGCAAACAGGAUUAGAAACCCCAGUAGUCCUAUG